CAGAGGGACCGACACCGAAUCAUGAAGUGAUAAUAGAUGUAGUAACAUCUGGCAAUUUGAUUUAGAACAGAUGAAAAAGAUGGAACCAUGUCCAAUGAUAAGCGGACUCCUCUGCUGUUGGAUAUUAAGACGAAAUUAUUGAUGAAUCAUAGGUCAUAAGUACAAAGCUAAACUCUCAUGGAGAUCAUAACUCAAACCAUGGAGCAAAAAGGUGGCUUCAUUUUCAAACCAAAAUUCUUCCGUAUCCAUUUUCUCAGACAAAUGUCAAAGGAAUCCAAGUAUAUGACAGCCAAAAAGUAGAAUCUUAAGUUGCUUAUAAGCUAAAAGUUGAGGAGAACAUAAGCCAAUGCCCAUAAGAAUUCAUCCUAAGGACUACAGAGUUCUAGAGCUCCUUAUCAAUUCAGUCGUAUGCGGGAUUUAGACAACCUAACCAUGCACUUUAGCAUGCUUGCAUGGUAACAAAUUGGACGCGCCAGCUACACUUGCUUCGCAAUUUCCAACUACUUCAGACUCAUGAGCUUUAUGUUUCUCUCCAACAUCCCGUGAAUUUCCCCUAUGGGUACAUUAGAUGAAUUCCCGCUUGUUUCACUACCCUCGACUUGUUCUCCCGAAUCAUCUUUGGAGAGAGCAUUUCCCACUGAAUCCAUGAAGUCCUUUAAGGGGUUCUCAAUCGUGGAUGAAGUCCCCUUGAGGAAGUCCAUGCACGACUUGAACUGCUUCUCAAACAUCAUCUGAAGGUGACGCCCUUGUUCUUCUAUUUGAAGCUACAAUUUUCUUUGAAUCUGCAGAAGAAUAAUUAGAACAUAAUGUUUGAAAGGAAUAACCAGAAACUGCUAGGGUCACACUCGAAAUUUUACUCCCUAAUUUGCCUUUGAGUAUUUAAAUUAAAAUGCCAGAUACAAAAUCUCGACUAAGCUGCAGCACUUUCACUAGGCUGCAAACUUGACACUAGGGAACUUAUCAAACAAGACAGCAAGUGUGCACCUGUAAAAGAUAUUUUACUAUGAUACUAUCCACAGAAACAAGAUCCCUCAGCAAAUCGUCAAACAUAGCAAUAAUACAAGACUGCAUUAGUAUAUAUUUCUCUAUUGCUGCCAGAAGCAUUAAUAAUCUGUUUAUUUUAUGUAUUAAAUAUUAAAUUUUGCAUUAGUCAAAUAAAAACGCAAUUAAUAAUCUGUUUAUUUUAUGUAUCAAAUAUUAAAUUUUGCAUUAGUCAAAUAAAACUCAGGAACCUGAUAUGUGGCUUAACCUAUAUUAUAUGCCACCUUCAAGUUAAAACCAAUGCAGCACGUGAAUUCAUACCAAAGGCUUUUGGACUUCCAUUUGCAGUCAACUAUUCAAAAACCAGAGGUGCACACAAUCAGCGACAGAACAUAUAGAAUAUAAAAAACUAAAAGGAAGCUGAGCUCAGUUAUAAUUGUAUCUAUCCUUACGAAUUGUCUAAGAUAUUAAACUUCCAAAAUUUGACAAGUUCCACCAUUCUCGUUGAAACCACAAUAUAUUUGCUAGUUCCAGAUUGUCCACACACACGAGUCACUCAUUAAUCCUCCAUCUGCCAACGUGUUUGUGAAUAUUAUGUAACUUUAGCACAACAGACUUCCAUAACAAACUACUUUACCAAAAUGUCUAAUUCUUUUUCAUACUUCAAUUUCAAUUAGAAAUUGAUGGUCUUCUAAUCCUUUUCUCUUGAAAAAUUAUAAGAGAGAUUAAUAUCUACCAAUCAUCCAUGUUAUUCUACAGGAAUAACUGGGAGAAGAAAACAGUAGAGCAAAGGUAUGAAGUGUAGUUGUCGAAUUGUUUGGUCACUGGUGGCAUAAGGUAAAACAUAUAAUAUCACAAUAGAAAGAAGAAACAAGGCACAUCUCCAUUCAAAAAAUUAAAAGAAGUCGAGUGUAGAAAAUGAGGUUCAUCAUCCUACAUAUAUGUGCAAAGCCAGAGAAUUAGAAGAGGAAGCCAAUUAAACGGAACAUAUAUAAACUAAGAGAAACAUUUAAAAUAUUAAAUAUCGUGCCCAGAGGUUCAGAUACUAAUAAUUAUCGAACUCCAAAAACUACAUUAACUACAAGACAUGAACUUAAGUAAAAGAAGUAAUUUACCGAUCAAAAAAGUAAAAGAAGCAACUUACAUUUUCUUGUCUAAAGAUGACAGAUUUUCAAUACAUGUCCUUUUCUUUUCUUUUCUUUUCAUUUUUAUUUGUGAAGAUUCUGCCAAAAAAAAAAAAAAAUCUGAAGUGACAAUGAAGAUUUCCUUUCAUAUGUAGCAUAACAUAUAUAGCAUAUUCUAAAUUCAAUGACAAUCAUGAACCAGAGACGUCAUUGAAGAAGUUAUGUUCACGAUUGAGCUAAGUGAAAUAGUUUGAAAAGAUAGAUUACUUCAUGGUGCAAGCAAUGCAUUGGAGUUUAAGAGUCAGAAGAAUAAGAAUUUUGAAUUAAAAUUGUGCUGCAAAUAUAUAUUUUUUAGUAUUGUAGCAACAUAAAAAUAUGAAGUGUUGUAAUAUACUCAAUUCUAACUUUAAUAUUUAAGUAUCUGACAUUCACUAUCUAGUUUAUUAUAUGACAGUAUAACUG
RNAcentral lists this long non-coding RNA (2567 nucleotides) under Olea europaea subsp. europaea. The record is from RNAcentral. Lineage: Eukaryota; Viridiplantae; Streptophyta; Magnoliopsida; Lamiales; Oleaceae.